RNAcentral lists this unclassified non-coding RNA (520 nucleotides) under uncultured Glomus. Its description in RNAcentral is "SSU rRNA". It matches the Rfam family "Eukaryotic small subunit ribosomal RNA", at positions 569 to 1088 of the family's 1831-position model. Lineage: Eukaryota; Fungi; Glomeromycota; Glomeromycetes; Glomerales; Glomeraceae. The record is from RNAcentral.
AGCAGCCGCGGUAAUUCCAGCUCCAAUAGCGUAUAUUAAAGUUGUUGCAGUUAAAAAGCUCGUAGUUGAAUUUUGGAUUCUUCCAAUUGGUCCAUCUUUUAGAUGAGUACUGGUUGUGUGGGGUCUAUCCGCCUGGUGAUACGUAAUGUCCUUUAUUGGAUGUUGCGGGUAGUCAGGACCUUUACCUUGAAAAAAUUAGAGUGUUUAAAGCAGGCUUAUGCCGGAAUACAUUAGCAUGGAAUAAUAGAAUAGGACGAAGUUGUUUUAUUUUGUUGGUUUCUAGGACAACCGUAAUGAUUAAUAGGGAUAGUUGGGGGCAUUAGUAUUCAAUUGUCAGAGGUGAAAUUCUUGGAUUUAUUGAAGACUAACUACUGCGAAAGCAUUUGCCAAGGAUGUUUUCAUUAAUCAAGAACGAAAGUUAGGGGAUCGAAGACGAUCAGAUACCGUCGUAGUCUUAACCAUAAACUAUGCCGACUAGGGAUCGGAUGAUGUUAAUUUUUUAAUGACCCAUUCGGCGCCU